GGCGCAGAACAGGCCAUAGCAGAAGUGUUCAUGGUGCAGUCCUGUCAGAUUCCAGCACACCUGCAAAUUCUGCU
RNAcentral lists this long non-coding RNA (74 nucleotides) under Crocodylus porosus (Australian saltwater crocodile). RNAcentral's name for it is "Mammalian CPEB3 ribozyme (ENSCPRG00005010689.1)". It matches the Rfam family "Mammalian CPEB3 ribozyme". Rfam says of the family: The mammalian CPEB3 ribozyme is a self cleaving RNA located in the second intron of the CPEB3 gene which belongs to a family of genes regulating messenger RNA polyadenylation. This ribozyme is highly conserved and found only in mammals. Lineage: Eukaryota; Metazoa; Chordata; Crocodylia; Crocodylidae. The record is from Rfam by way of RNAcentral.